Molecule: ribosomal RNA, 252 nt
Filed under: uncultured bacterium
Lineage: Bacteria
Description: partial 16S ribosomal RNA
Rfam family: Bacterial small subunit ribosomal RNA
Source: RNAcentral
UACGGAGGGAGCUAGCGUUGUUCGGAAUUACUGGGCGUAAAGCGCGCGUAGGCGGCUUUGUAAGUUAGAGGUGAAAGCCCGGGCUCAACUCCGGAACUGCCUUUAAGACUGCAUCGCUUGAAUCCGGGAGAGGUGAGUGGAAUUCCGAGUGUAGAGGUGAAAUUCGUAGAUAUUCGGAAGAACACCAGUGGCGAAGGCGGCUCACUGGACCGGUAUUGACGCUGAGGUGCGAAAGCGUGGGGAGCAAACAGG